CCCUCCAAUUACAAUCAGCCUAUCCCCACAUGCUCGAAAAGCCAAACCCCAACAGUUCAUAGAAGCUGCUCUUUGAGGCAUUUGUCCUAUGGUAACCCGUGCUUUAGUUCGCUUGUCAUACUUCCUAACCUCCAUGUCAGCACAAUCGGCAGCAUACAAUUCAUUAUUUACAACAGCAACCAAGGGAGGUGCAGCAGAUGUAGCAUGCGUAUCAUUCCUAUCUGCAUUAGCUUGAACAGGAGACAUGUUUGGAAUUUCAGUCCAUGUUCUUGUUUUCAGAUCAUACUCCUCCCCCCAAGUCAACUGCUUUAAUUCAGCUCCUCCAAGCGGUCCACGGUAUUCAAAAUUGUCUCUAGCAUCCUUGAAAAAUCUCCUCAUUGAGAUCAAACACCAUAAUCAAGUUAUCCACCCUUCUCUCCCCAUUUCUCUUGUGUGCGGUCCAGUGGACUUACCCACAAUCCACAACUUGUUUCCAAAACUACUCUACAACACCAAUAUCUGGAAUAAAACCAUCAAGUUCCUUCCAAAUUCCUGAACUAAGUGCAUAUACCUCAACCUUAGGUGGCAGCAAGUACUGACCAUCACCCUGAGCAUAGCCCAUCCUCAUAACCUUGUAAUCUCGUGGUUUAAUUGCAAAGCCAAACCCAAAAGCAAACAUAUAAGUCCUUGAGUUGUCGAAGCAAAGUGGAUUCAUUGGGAGGGUGAGGCAUCUAUUUAUCCUAGGGUUCCAAAGUACCAAACGAUUUUCAUUCAAAUAAAUGAUUUGACCAACAGAGAACACCGUUGCAUAUACCAACAAUCCUACAAUAAAAUAAUCUGGCACUCUGCCAUUAAAAGGGGAUCCUAAUGGUAUGACAGUGUUAGCGUCCGCUGAUGCAUCACUGAGUUUAAUUAAUUCCUUCUUUUUAAGUUGAGCAGAAAUACCUCACGAUUUCACCUUUAGAGGGUUUUAGGAGAACCGACCGUUGUGUAUGUAGCCAUAUGAAUUCAGGGCUUGAAAUUAGUGAGUUCCAACAUUUUAAUAAGCACCUAAUUUGGAGGAGAGAUUUGGGUGGGAGCCUUGAAAAGAUUUCGGCCAUCAAUUCUUCUGAGAGAUAGUCUGACAUUUUUCUUUGGGUAUGAAACUGAAGAUUUUGUUUCUGUUGUUUAAAUAAGAAAGGUUGGGUUGGGAGAGGGAGAGGGAGAGGGAGUUCUUGAAAGAGAGACUGCUUGGUGGGUGUGAGCAGGUUUUUGAAUUAUGAACAGAGCUUCAAAGGCAAGUUGUGAUGGUAAGAAGGCAAGAGGAAGCACUAUUUAUACAGGGUAGAUAGAGAAAAGACAAGAGAUUGUAACAGAAACAACACAUGCAUUCUAAUCUAGAAAGGUAAAAUGUUUAAUAACGUUUGCCGGAAAAAUAAAGAAGACGAUCCUCACACACUUUCUCCAGUGGACUGAUUUUCUCUCAAGCUCAAAUUGUGAUUUUUUUGGAGAAAACAAGGUUGCCGUUCGAUAUGACCUAGGUUGUUCUAGAAGUGUUUUAUUCAGAAUAGGAAAUGGACCUCAACGUGUUUAUUGGAUCAUUGGGCCUGGACACAAAGAAUAACCACAAGCCCAAGUUCCAUUUCCUCCAUCAGAAGCCGAUUAUCAUGGUUUCACAUUUCAUUAGACAGCUGCACAGUGUAUAAUGUAUACGUUUAUAUACUACUAGAAGCUUCUAUUGUAAAUACAUUUUCUGUAUUUUAAUUUCCUAAUAGUUAGUUAGGAUAAGAAUCCAAUAGAAUUAGCACAACUGUAUAGUUUGUUACAUUUUUGAUUCCUUUAGAUAGCUAUAAAUAUAGGAAUGUACAGAGCAUGAGAUAUACAGUGAAAUACACAAAGCAAAUCUUUCAUACAUUUCCUCUUAAGUAAUUUUAUUUUCUAAUAAAUAACUUGCUUUAGAUCUCUCCUCACAUUUAGGAAACAAAGAAACCGAAAAUUUAUUUGAGCUAGGUUUUGUGCAUUGUAGCAGGGUAAUAAUUGUGGUUUCAAACUUGUAUUGAGUUUCAAUUAAUUACUUGCCGAUUAUCAUAUUUCUGUUAGUUGACUCACUUAUGGUAACUGGGGAUUUUCAUAAAUUGGUAAGUAAGCUGAUAUAGUGAUGCCGGCGUCAAUAAGAUAUUACAUAGCUAAUUUGGACUUUUAGGGAGGAAAUACAUUAAAUUAUAUUUAGCUCUUGAUAUUAUGAUGAUGUGAUUUCACGAAAAAGAAAUGAAGUUAUAAUUUGAACAGUUUUUUAAAGUUGAAAAAACUUUUGCUUGCUUACCUUUGUAAUUGAGGAGUAAACUUACGUUGUUGUAAUUUAGUGUGGUAAAGUUGUUGGCCCUCCUGCUUCAACCCCCCAACCCCACAUAAAAAAAGUUAAAACCAAAGAGAGAUAUUUUCUGUUAUUAAACUAUGUUUGGAUCUUGUUCAUAUUCAGUGUCUAGUCAAGUUAAAAUUAUACAAUAAUAAAAAUUAUUCCUCAAUAUCUGUGUCUUUCUUCAUUAAGCAUGCUUUAAUUAGUAAAUUGUUAUGGACUUCUUAAAAAAUUGUUUGUUCAACUGUGCUUUGCACUUUAAGCACUUACCGCUUUCUACUGUCUUUGCUUGCGGUAAUACUGGAAUUCUGUAAUGCCGUGUGAUGUUGAGUUCUUUAGUUUCAGUACUGGAUCUCAGAAACAGUGAGCUUAGAGAUAUCCAUGAUAUUACUGGUUUAACAUUGCAUAAUACUCCCUCUGUUCCAUCUUAUGUGGCAGGAUUCGUUGUACAGGGUCACAUUACUGAAUAUUUGAUGUGAAUUCAGACAUAUUCUUUAUUUUUUUUGAGUUCUUUUUUACAUAUUUGAAAACUUCAUAAAAAAAAAGUACUUUAAAUUACAAGUAUUAUUUAUUAAUUUAAAAUAUUUAAAGAAAUCUUGGCAAAGAAGAACUUCUUUGACUUGUCAAAUGGUAAUAGUGUCGCAUAAAAUGGAUCAGAGAGAGUGGUAUUUAGAUGAGGCUAUUCAUUGGAUUGUGUGUUAUAGUAAUAGAGAUGGAGCUUUCGAAUAAGCUAUUGGUUCGUAAUUUAAGAUACUUCUAGUGAAUUGGUGCUCUCUGUAUGAGCUAGCGCAUGAAUCAUCUUUUGGACUUGUCUGUUAAUUUAUAUGAGAAUUGGGCUGCUCUUUUUUGAUAAAGGGGUCAUGAUUGUGGUAAUCUCAAUGUUCUACUGUUUGAGUGAUGAACCGCUUUGGAAAAAUAGUCUGCAACUGAGAAUUUUUAUGGAUUAAGCAUGAUAUUUCAAGUGCUAUUGGGAUCAGGAGAAAUAGGUAAUGUCUGUUGGAGUAGUAUAUCGGGAAUCCUGAUUUUUAUGAUCGAGCAGAUAAAUUAAGUAUAUCAGUAUGCCUGAUGGGAAGAAAUCAUUCUUGUUGAGCAACUAUGUUGAGUCUACUGUCACUCAAAAUCUGGUGGACAGUUUGGACAAAAAGGAACAAUAGAUUGAAUUUUUAAAGGAAAUAAGAGAAACAUUCUCUGCCUUAAGUUUAAGGUUCUUGUUUUUUUUUUUUUUUUUGGCUGCUAGCUUGAUGUUGCAAACUAGUGUUUGUACAGGAUAUUGAUGUCAUGUUAGCCAUGAUCGGGAAAUCGCUGAAGUGCCUACCACCUCAAUUUACAAAUUCACAGAAGUUAUUUGACAUAUGACUUAAUUCACAACUCUAUUAGUCGAUUUGUGUGCAACUCAACCAUUUAUGAGUGUCUGCUAUUUUCCACCAGUACAUAUAUCGAAUAACUCUAUCCUCCAAUAACUACAAAGAGGGUGACAUUCAAACUUGCAACAACUAGAAAGGGUGGUGGAGAUGAGGUGAGAGGAGGCAUGAUAUUUCAGAGAACCAGUUCGAAUUCAUGCCAGGAUGCUCAACUACAGAGGCUAUUCAUCUUGUGAGGAGACUGGUGGAGCAGUAUAGGGAGAGGAAGAAGAACUUACACAUGGUAUUCAUCGAUCUAGAAAAGGCAUACAAUAAAGUGCCAAGGGAGGUUCUAUGGAGAUGCUUGGAGGCUAGAGGGGUACCUCUGGCGUACAUUAGGGCGAUCAAAGACAUGUAUGAUAGAGCCAAGACCAGGGUAAGGACAAUCAGAGGGGACUCAGAGCACUUCCCAGCUGUGAUGGGUUGCACCAGGGGUCAGCUCUUAGCCCAUUUUUGUUUGCCUUGGUGACAGAUGGAUUGACACGGCAAAUUCAAGAUGAGGUGUAAUGGUGUAUGUUAUUCGCGGAUGACAUAGUCUUGAUUGACGAGACUUGCAGCGGAGUUAAUGCUAAGCUGGAGGGUUGGAGACAAACUUUGGAGUCUAAAGGGCUCAAGUUGAGUAGGACCAAGACAGAGUACUUAGAGUGCAAGUUCAGUGACAUACCGCAUGAGGAUGACGUGGAAGUGAGGCUUGGUACCCAGGCCAUUCAAAAGAAAAGAAGUUUCAAGUAUCUCGGGUUUAUUAUACAAGGAAAUGGGGAUAUUGAUGAUGAUGUCCCUCACCGUAUUGGUGCAGGCUGGAUGAAAUGGAGGCUCGCUUCCGGAGUGCUGUGUGAUAAGAAGGUGCCACCAAAACUUAAAGGCAAGUUCUAUAAAGUGAUGGUUAGGCUGACUUUAUUAUAUGGGGCGGAGUGUUGACGAGUCAAGAACUCUCACGUUUAGAAGAUGAAAGUUGCGGAAAUGAGAAUGCUGCGAUGGAUGUGUGGGCACACUAGGAGGGAUACAAUUAGGAAUGAAGAUGUCUGAGACAAAGUGAGAGUGGCCUCGUUGGAGGAUAAGAUGUGUGAAGUGAGGCUGAGAUGGUUUGGACAUGUGAAGAGGAGAGACACUCAUGCCCCAGUGCGGAGGUGUGAGAGGUUGGCUAUGGACGGUUUCAGGAGAAGCAGAGGUAGGCCGAAGAAGUAUUGGGGAGAGGUGAUUAGACAGGACAUGGCGCAGUUCCAGCUUAUCAAGUACAUGACCUUAGAUAGGUAGUCCCGCUUGCGCUUUUGUACUAGUAGUCGUAGUUUUGCCCUAUAGUUUCUUGUCAUUUGUUUUAUGCUACUAUCUGUUGUUCCUUGUACAUCGAUUAUUUUAUUUAUCUAUGGUAACUACUGUUUUUUUUUUUUCCAGAUUGUUGUAUCAUGAUUUUUCGCUUUCGUUAUUUCAUUUCCAUACUAUUUUGAAUUGCUUGUCCUUAUCUAACCUUUUUUUGCCAUGCUUUCUCUUGAGCCAAGGGUCUUUCGGAAACAGCCUCCUUACCUUCCGAGUUAGGGCUUUAUAGCAGGCAUAUUGUUAUCAAUAUCAGGCUCAAGCUAAAAAACCAGCUCCAAGAAUCUGAUCACGAGAGAUGGUCUCACGAAAAGUUCCUCAAAUUCUGGAAUACUACACCCCAAGCUAUCCGGUGGACAGUUUGGACAGAAAAGAACAAUGGAGCUUUUGAAGGCGACAAGAGAAACAUUUGAACAAUGGAGCUUUUGAAGGCGACAAGAGAAACAUUCUUUGUCUUGAGCUUACUUUUUGUUUGCUAGUUUUUAUACAGCGUAUACAUGCCAUGUUAGACGUGUUCUUGGAAUUGCACAACUUGUAAUUAUUUUCUGGUGCACUAGCUUAGUGCUUAUCCAUCUUUAAUAGUGAUACAUUAUGAUGUAUCAAAAAUUUGGUGUUUACUGACUAACUUAUGUUAUUCAGGAACUCAACUGCUUGAGAAGGCUAUUAGACAAACUGGAACAGGAAAGUUCGCAGAAACAGAAUGGACUGAAUCAGAUGGAAUGGGAAUUACAGGGGUAAUUUUUAGUGUUAAAGUUGACAUAUGUUUUAACACCGGAAAUAUUAUAUACUCCUGCCCAUGGAAAAGGAUAUGAAGCUUGCUUAACACAAGACAACUUGAUGAAGAGAGGAUUUGAACUUUGCAAUGGAUGCUUUCUAUGUAAAGCAGAGACAGAGAAUGCAAAACUUUUGUUGAUGCACUGUGUGGUAGCCAGGGAUAUGUUGAGUACGUUCUUAAACAUUUUGGAGUUCAAUGGGUAAUAGUGUCAAACACUCUUAAGAAGGCUUUGGUUAGCUGGUUCCUAUGAAAACAGUCUUUUAAUUUUUAUGGGCAAUUGGCGCGAAUGCCCUUGAAAUGCGCUGGUCUUUAAUUUUUGCCCCUGUAAUGCGUGGUCUUUAAUAUUUGCCCUUCUGAGCUAAAAGAUAAUAAAAAAAAGACGUUACUACCCCUACCCAUAACAUAUAAAAACCUGAAAGUCUGUAAUGAAUCCCAAACAUUCAAUUAAAC
Long non-coding RNA from Lycium barbarum (goji berry), 6250 nucleotides. RefSeq lists it as uncharacterized. The transcript is spliced from 3 exons. Lineage: Eukaryota; Viridiplantae; Streptophyta; Magnoliopsida; Solanales; Solanaceae. The record is from RefSeq and is a predicted model, not a curated record.